AAAUAAACUGCCUGUGUUUUGUUU
Molecule: non-coding RNA, 24 nt
Filed under: Arabidopsis thaliana (thale cress)
Lineage: Eukaryota; Viridiplantae; Streptophyta; Magnoliopsida; Brassicales; Brassicaceae
Source: RNAcentral